UUUAUGGAGAGUUUGAUCCUGGCUCAGAGUGAACGCUGGCGGCGUGCCUAAUACAUGCAAGUCGAACGAUGAAGCUUCUAGCUUGCUAGAAGUGGAUUAGUGGCGCACGGGUGAGUAAGGUAUAGUUAAUCUGCCCUACACAAGAGGACAACAGUUGGAAACGACUGCUAAUACUCUAUACUCCUGCUUAACACAAGUUGAGUAGGGAAAGUUUUUCGGUGUAGGAUGAGACUAUAUAGUAUCAGCUAGUUGGUAAGGUAAUGGCUUACCAAGGCUAUGACGCUUAACUGGUCUGAGAGGAUGAUCAGUCACACUGGAACUGAGACACGGUCCAGACUCCUACGGGAGGCAGCAGUAGGGAAUAUUGCGCAAUGGGGGAAACCCUGACGCAGCAACGCCGCGUGGAGGAUGACACUUUUCGGAGCGUAAACUCCUUUUCUUAGGGAAGAAUUCUGACGGUACCUAAGGAAUAAGCACCGGCUAACUCCGUGCCAGCAGCCGCGGUAAUACGGCGGGUGCAAGCGUUACUCGGAAUCACUGGGCGUAAAGGGCGCGUAGGCGGAUUAUCAAGUCUCUUGUGAA
RNAcentral lists this ribosomal RNA (582 nucleotides) under Campylobacter coli. RNAcentral describes it as "partial 16S ribosomal RNA". It matches the Rfam family "Bacterial small subunit ribosomal RNA", at positions 1 to 598 of the family's 1533-position model. The record is from RNAcentral. Lineage: Bacteria; Pseudomonadati; Campylobacterota; Epsilonproteobacteria; Campylobacterales; Campylobacteraceae.